UACUUAGACAAGAUGGCGGCCGUUGAGUGCAUAAAGUGUACAUCGUUGCACACUCAACCUUUUUGCCUUCAUGAGGGCACCAUCCGGGUCCUUUAGGUACACUUCUUUUCGCCGCGAUCAAUAUCGGAACACCCUAAAUACUCAGACUAAGUACAUAAACUGGGUAGAGUCUGGGUAGAGUUGAGCUAUGUCUACACACAGCUCAACUGAACCACAUACACUCUACCCAGACAUGUCGAUGCUCGAGUACGUCUGGGAUGCCACAAUGACGGCUAGAGGAAGAAGCUACUGCUAAUGGUGUGAUCCUCUUCCCUCUCCAAACUACUUAUCUUGGACAUUGAUAGAGAACAUCAAGAAUCAAGUGAAAAGCCUGGAGAAGACAACUGUGGUGCUACAGGGAUCGGGACAAAGUUUUCACUGGACAAAAUGUUCAUUGAUGCAAAUCAUUUGCACCAUAUAAUAACAAAAAUAGCUGAAAAUGACCUGAGGGAUGACAGUAUUCUUAACUUUCGCACAUACUGGAGCUAAGUUGAAGAAAACAGAAAUUAAAGUCUGUAUUCUGGCAGUUAAUUUGGAUACUUCCAGGUGUUCUUUCUCAGAUACUAAUCAAAAUACUUUUCAAAAGCACCCCUUGUUUCUCAUCCACGCUGCUUAAGCACACUCAGAGUUCCUUUUGAUCACAAGCGGAGUUUAUAUCAGACUUAGUUUGUAAUUCUAACAAGGACAGCUGUGGCCAGCUACAUGUCAAAGUGUACUUGGAGAAGAAACUGAACCCAGAUCGCUCCUGAUGGCUGUUGAGCCUAAAAAGAUCCUCAAGCUUCAAAUAAAUCAGCUUUUUGGGCCUUCAGAGAUCAUCUUGUCUUGGGCAUGAGGGUGAGAGACUAGUAACAACAGUCACGCUUUAUUUAAACCCAUGUUUGAUAGAGUUAGGGUUAAAAACUGGCUAAAGGCUAAAGUAAACUGGCAGCUCGGAUUUCUCACAAAACAGGAGCGGUGAACAACACUACAUUUUGUUGGCUGACACGUGAACGCACCGUCCACAUACAGAGCAGCGUGGCCAGGACCUGACAUAACUUCAUGCUAAUAUUCUGAGACAUAAACGCUACAAUACUGCAACAAAUGAAAACUAAAGGGUUUUGUUUUGUUGUGCUUGUUGUUGAUUUUCAGUCACCUGCUCAUGCAAAGUGUAGAUUUAACUUCAGGUCUGUUGGGGUACAGUAUGAAGGCCUCAUUUUAUCAACACCAGCCCUCCUCUCCCUCCCAAAGCUUGGUAAUAAAGUGAGGAAAC
Acanthopagrus latus (yellowfin seabream) is the source of this 1288-nucleotide long non-coding RNA. RefSeq lists it as uncharacterized. The record is from RefSeq and is a predicted model, not a curated record. The transcript has 3 exons. Lineage: Eukaryota; Metazoa; Chordata; Actinopteri; Spariformes; Sparidae.